GUCAACUCCUCUGACACAUCUGAUUACUCCUCCUUUGAGUCGGCUUCUCUCGCUCUGCCCUCUCCUGUUUUCUGAUCCGUGCCUUCAUCUCUGUCUUCCGCUGUGGCACCUCAGAUGCUGGGAUGCUCUGCUCUGCACACUUUCUCACUCUCCUGCCAGAGGAGCCCAUCCUUCCCUGUGGCGGUGAAUACCAUUCACAGGUACAAGACUUACCUCAGCCAGGUCUUUUCUCAGACUCGUGUUUCUCAUUACCUAUGGUAUGUCUCAAACUGGACAUCUGAGAGCUGAAAUAGCUGAAGCUGAAUUCCUAAUCUCCCCAGAUGUGUUCCUCUCCCUCUUGCCCACCCAGUCAUGGCGUCUGCACUCACUAGACGCCCAGUGAGUCCUACCUCACUCCUUCUUCCCCUCCCCUUGUUCAUCAAGCCUGCCCCCUGACCUCAGGUCUGUCCACUUCCCUUCAUGGUCACUGCUACCUGCACAAGUGGCCACUGCCAUUUGUCUGAACUAUUGUGGUUUUUAGCUAACUUCUUUUCUGCUCCACAUUCUGCUUGUCAUUAUGCAGAGAGAAGACCGUUUUAAUUACAAAAUUAGACUGUCUCUCUCCCCUGCUUAUAAUUCUUCAAAAGUUUUCCAUUGUGUUUGUAAUAAGACCCGAGUUCCUUGAUCUGACUUGUACGACCAGACUUGGUUUUCCACUGCCCACGUCAAUGACCUUCUCUAUUGCCUCUCUCCCCUCUGCUAACCAGCCAUCGUGAUCUUCUAGCCUUUCCCCAGAGUGCCAAGCACUGUCCUCCUUUGGGGAUCAAGAGGUACUUGGACCAUGCAUCCCCUGUGCUCUACCUGGAUCUCUACUUCUCGUCAGUCAGAUCUUGCUUUAACACCACCUGUCAGAGAGAAAUUUCUGCACCUCAUCAAAAACAUGUCCCCAUCCUUCUGAUUUCUACAAGAGCCUUUGUUUCCUUGACAACCUUCAUUGCUGUUUGAAACCAUAGCUCAUCACUUUGCUUUCUCAUUGUCUCCACUCUGGACAGGGAGCUUCAUGGGAUGAGGUCCUGUCUGUGGUAUUUGGUGUCCCAAUGCUGACACAGUCCCUAGUGUAGGGUGCACAGUUACUGAAUGAGUGCACACCAAAAAUAUUUUACUUUAUCUUUUGGACAGCAGGGAACCACUGAAAAAUUUCAACUGUUGGUCUGGUGUUUGGGAAAAAGAGUGCUGUCGGGUCAUCGGGCAGAAGCCUGGAGAAUGGAUGACAGGAGUGCAUAAUUGGAAACCAAGGGAACCACUUAGGUACUUAUUGUAAUCUUGAGGCUAGAGAUGAUGAGCAUCCAAACUAAGGAGGUAAGACAUCGCAUAUGCUAAGCCCAGUGCUGGUGCCAACUCAGUGGAGUCCAUUCAGUUUGGCAGCCAGCAAACUUGCUUUGUAGAAGCUGAUUAUUGCAUUGGCAAGGGCAGAAGAUACAUUACUUAAGACUGCAGACAGGAUGAGAAGCCGGAGGCAGGCAGGUACCGCUUGUGCUUUUGGGUGCUGUGAGGGGAUGCAGAGAGGUAGCAAGAAGGCAGAGGUCAUCCUACGGGGAGCAAUUGGACCACACACUCUGAUUCCUUAGUGGGGCACAGAUCUAGGACAGAGGGAGAGGCCAGACACAGAGGGAAGAAGGAAACCCCUGGGUGGGCAAGCCCAGUUGGUGCAAAGAUGUGGAGUGCAGGUUCCAUCCAGCCUUGGGCUUGCUUGGGGGCGGGGUGGGCAAUGCUCAUUCUUCUUUGAGAUUGAAGAAGGUGUGACGGUGGCUGCUGCAGAAGCUGCUGGGCUGUCUGUGAUGCCACUGUUGGUGCUCCUGACCUUCCAGCUCAGUGCAGGCCCCCGGAGGAAGGGGUGUGAGUUUGGUUUCUCUAGUAUUUUCCCAAGCACAGACCUCAGUUCUGAGCUUGGAGAAGACGGCAUGGCAGGUGACCACAGAAGCAGGGAUUUAACUCAGCCAGGGGUAGUCACCUGACUCGCUCUAACAGUGGAGCUCAGCUGACUUGUGUGGUUGGAUUUUUUACUUGAGAAACCACUUACAAGCCAAAUGCACAGCAUCUAUAACCAGAGAGCCAGCUUCCUUGCCGCCUGUAGGUAUUUCCACUACUGUGGUUCUCCGCAUUCCACAGCUGGGUGGCAUGAUGUGAACUUCCCAGUGACCAAACACUCCAAGGCCACCAUUCUCAGUAGAGGUUGCCCUCCUGUCUGUGAAGUUACUGAAACACCAAGAGCAACGGCCUAUCAGAGGGAAUGGCCGCUUUGCCUGGCCUACCUCAUGACCAUGCUGUGUGGCCAGGGCCUCACAUCAGCUGCCCACCAAGACCUUCCCACACGCCUCCUUGUUCCUUCUC
This 2370-nucleotide long non-coding RNA is filed under the name Marmota monax (woodchuck). Lineage: Eukaryota; Metazoa; Chordata; Mammalia; Rodentia; Sciuridae. The record is from RNAcentral.